Molecule: ribosomal RNA, 440 nt
Filed under: uncultured bacterium
Lineage: Bacteria
Description: partial 16S ribosomal RNA
Rfam family: Bacterial small subunit ribosomal RNA
Source: RNAcentral
CCUACGGGUGGCAGCAGUGGGGAAUAUUGCACAAUGGGGGAAACCCUGAUGCAGCGAUGCCGCGUGGAGGAAGAUGGCUUUCGGAUUGUAAACUUCUUUUAUCAGGGACGAUAAUGAGGGUACUUGUACAAAACGCUCCGGCCAACAAAGUGCCAGCAGUCGCGGUAAUACGUAGGGAGCGAGCGUUGUCCGGAUUUACUGGGUGUAAAGGGAGUGUAGGCGGGACGGCAAGUCAGAUGUGAAAACCGCGGGCUAAACUUGCAGACUGCAUUUGAUACUGCUGAGCUAGAGUGAAGUAGAGGUAAGCGGAAUGUCUGGUGUAGCGGUGAAAUGCGUAGAUAUUAGGAAGAACAUCGAUGGCGAAGGCAGCUUACUAGGCUUUUACUGACGCUGAGGCACGAAAGCGUGGGGAGCAAACAGGAUUAGAUACCCUUGUAGUC